GCCGGCUUAGCUCAGUUGGUAGAGCAGCUGACUUGUAAUCAGAAGGUCAAGGGUUCAACUCCUUUAGCCGGCACCA
Molecule: transfer RNA, 76 nt
Filed under: Neisseria sp.
Lineage: Bacteria; Pseudomonadati; Pseudomonadota; Betaproteobacteria; Neisseriales; Neisseriaceae
Description: tRNA-Thr
Rfam family: tRNA
About the family: Transfer RNA (tRNA) molecules are approximately 80 nucleotides in length. Their secondary structure includes four short double-helical elements and three loops (D, anti-codon, and T loops).
Source: RNAcentral